Asparagus officinalis (garden asparagus) is the source of this 614-nucleotide long non-coding RNA. RefSeq lists it as uncharacterized. NCBI's taxonomy places the organism in Eukaryota, Viridiplantae, Streptophyta, Magnoliopsida, Asparagales, Asparagaceae. The record is from RefSeq and is a predicted model, not a curated record. The transcript has 3 exons.
AUGACCUCAAAGGGUGUCUCAGCUUACUGCAAGUAUGGGCAUAGGAGAGGCUGCAUUUGAAGCCGAGACUAUGCGUGAAUUUACAAUUAGACGGACAAAUUCCACUAGGAUGCAGAUGGAAUGUCCAAAAAUGUUUUGACGAGACCCCGACGAGACAGUUAGAUUUCUACCGAAAUGAGCUUGACCGCAUGAAGAUUUUUCAGAUGGAAUGGGAGCCCUACACCCCAUUUCUCGAUCAUCUACCCCCGAUAUGCACAGAAUACCCAGUUAUAUGGAGAGCCAGAGUUCCUCUAAUAUGUUUCGAGAUAGUAGAAAUGCAUGUACCGGAUCGCGUGCUUCGACAAUUUGGUCUUGCACAACAUGUUCCGCAAAUUGUUGAAAAAAUAGAGAGGAAGGCGAAGAAAGGAGGCCAUCAAAAGGACUGGGCAGCUGAGCAUCAAAAUUAUAUAUACAGAUGGAAUGAUAGACAUUUUUGUAUUGUUGAGCAAAUCGAGCCAACUCCCCAGGAAUCAGAUUACUACACUUGGUAUUGGAGGAUAACUAGAAGAUGGAUACUCCAUGCGACCACAUCCCCGGUUGAGUUGCAAAGAGGAUAUGUGCCUCGGGGUAUAGAU